RNAcentral lists this long non-coding RNA (483 nucleotides) under Elaeis guineensis (African oil palm). Its description in RNAcentral is "long non-coding RNA (EGUI_LNC011764)". Lineage: Eukaryota; Viridiplantae; Streptophyta; Magnoliopsida; Arecales; Arecaceae. The record is from RNAcentral.
GAGGCGGGUGCGUCGAACAGUCGGAUCGAGGAAGGGCUCGGAUGCCUCCAUGUGUCGUCAUCCGAGAAGUCCUCGUUCGGCGCGCUUUCAUCUCAACCGUUGAAGGGCUUUAUAUAUAUGCAGCCACCUACAUCCAAAACUUCACUUUCCGCUGCAAAUCUUUUUUCUUCUGGUGCUGAAACUUUGUCGAGUUGUCUUCCAGUUCCAGGUAGUCGUCUUCAUCCUCCUCUUUUGGGCUCUUCUUGAAGCUUUCUGUUCUUGUCUCUCCGUACUCUUCCUCCUUUGUCGUUUUCUUUCUAUUCUUCUUUCUGAGACUAGCAGUAUGGCUAGGACCUCUCCUCGAGGGAGUCAGUCGGGGAACCCGACUGAUGACUCCCGAUCGACCUCGGAAGUAGAGGUUUCUUCACUUUCGGGGGCGAACGUCGAACGGCUCAGGGAGCAGUACAGUAUCUCGGAGCAGUUCGAGCUCUUCACCCUUGGGGC